RNAcentral lists this ribosomal RNA (260 nucleotides) under uncultured bacterium. RNAcentral's name for it is "partial 16S ribosomal RNA". It matches the Rfam family "Bacterial small subunit ribosomal RNA", at positions 793 to 1055 of the family's 1533-position model. The record is from RNAcentral.
GUCCACGCUGUAAACGAUGAUCACUCGCUGUUGGCGAUAUACUGUUCAGCGGCUAAGCGAAAGCAUUAAGUGAUCCACCUGGGGAGUACGGUCGCAAGACUGAAACUCAAAGGAAUUGACGGGGGCCCGCACAAGCGGAGGAACAUGUGGUUUAAUUCGAUGAUACGCGAGGAACCUUACCUGGACUUAAAUGGAGAACGACGUCUUGUGAAAGCAGGAUUCCCUUCGGGGCGGUCUUCAAGGUGCUGCAUGGUUGUCGU